Molecule: ribosomal RNA, 395 nt
Filed under: uncultured bacterium
Lineage: Bacteria
Description: bacterial SSU rRNA
Rfam family: Bacterial small subunit ribosomal RNA
Source: RNAcentral
GUGUCAGCCGCCGCGGUAAUACGAGGGGUGCAAGCGUUGCUCGGAAUUAUUGGGCGUAAAGGGCAGGUAGGUGGUCUCGUUUGUCUGGGGUGAAAUCCUUGGGCUUAACCCAAGAAGUGCCCCGGAAACGGCGAGACUAGAGUACUGGAGAGGGUCGUGGAAUACCCGGUGUAGCGGUGAAAUGCGUAGAGAUCGGGUGGAACACCAGAGGCGAAGGCGGCGACCUGGACAGUAACUGACACUCAACUGCGAAAGCGUGGGGAGCAAACAGGAUUAGAUACCCUGGUAGUCCACGCUGUAAACGAUGGGUACUAGGCUUGGUGGGUCUUGACCCCCACUGAGCCGGAGCUAACGCACUAAGUACCCCGCCUGGGAAGUACGGUCGCAAGACUAAA